RNAcentral lists this ribosomal RNA (253 nucleotides) under uncultured bacterium. Its description in RNAcentral is "partial 16S ribosomal RNA". It matches the Rfam family "Bacterial small subunit ribosomal RNA", at positions 524 to 776 of the family's 1533-position model. The record is from RNAcentral.
UACAGAGGUGGCAAGCGUUGUUCGGAAUUACUGGGCGUAAAGGGCGCGUAGGCGGCCUUCUAAGUCAGACGUGAAAUCCCUCGGCUUAACCUGGGAACUGCGUCUGAUACUGGGAGGCUAGAGUAUGGGAGAGGGAUGUAGAAUUCCAGGUGUAGCGGUGAAAUGCGUAGAUAUCUGGAGGAAUACCGGUGGCGAAGGCGGCAUCCUGGACCAUUACUGACGCUGAGGCGCGAAAGCUAGGGGAGCAAACGGG